Long non-coding RNA from Numida meleagris (helmeted guineafowl), 3196 nucleotides. RefSeq lists it as uncharacterized. Lineage: Eukaryota; Metazoa; Chordata; Aves; Galliformes; Numididae. The transcript has 2 exons. The record is from RefSeq and is a predicted model, not a curated record.
GGAUGCUAUUUUUUCUGCAUGGAGGAGAUCAAUGACACAUCUUUGCUUCAUAUACACUUCCAUGUCAGACACCAUUCUGUCAGACUGCCCUCUGCUACCAUCUGUCACACAGCAACAGAAUGUCACAGAAUAUCGGUGGGAAGAUUCAACGUCUACUCCUAUACCACCAACAUCCACCUUUGACAUCCUGGGCCAAUGUCAUGAAACAGGAGGCAUUACUUUCGGAGCAUCCCUCAUACUACAUAUACUGUAGUUCAUGUAUAUAGGUAACAAAACUUAUUUUAAUAUUUUUCAUUCAAACAAACAAAAAAAAAGAGGACAACAAAACCAUAGAACAAGAGGGAUGUGUGAUCUUGUGAAACUGACGUAGUGGCUGCAAUUCUUAGUGAGCUCUUGAAGUGUUCAUCAGAGAUUUUUGAUUAAGCUUUACUCAUCUGUGCUUCAUCCUUGAAAACAGUUGUUCACAAAUAUACAUACUGCCAGAAGCAAUGACAUGAGUAGGGCACGACUGUGAGGCCAGGGAUAGUUCCGUCUGGUAAGAGGGGGCUUAUACAAGUCUGUGAAAGAGACUUCGUCACAUUCUUUUUUGAGUUAAAUACCUGAUUGCAACUCCAUACAUUCCACAUGAAAAUAUACAGGUAAUUUAUUUAAGUCAACUGAAAAUUGAGUUGCAAACACACAAAAAAAUUGAUCAUGUUUUCGGCAACCUUGAAACCUGUUCUCAAAUGCCUUGAUCACAAUGGAAAGCACAGAUGCAUAUUUUGCACUGUUCACAGGACAGUGUUUAGCCAGAGUAUCACAAUGCAUAAACUUAUUUCCUGUAACUUGAGUUAGCACUGCACUACACCCUCUCUGUGCCCUGCUUCCAGCCCAGACAUUGCGGAUGACACACUGAGGUUCAUUUGGUGCUCAGUGAUGGGUGCGUGCCUGGGGCUGGGCCGGGACAGAGCCAUCAUCAUGAUGGUGGGGGGCAGCCGCAGGGAGACCUGGGCCGGGCUGUGUGUGGGCCACGGGUUGGAUGUGGUUGCAAUAGGACAUUGUACCACCAACACAGCACGCUGCUGAAAGCUCAGCCACCACCUAUUCCCCUCUCAGGAAUAUAAUCACUCACACCCCUUCCCAAUUCCUGAAUUCCCUGCAAGCAACGCAGACGCUCUGCUUGGAGCACGUGCCCAGCUUCCUCCAGGCAGUGUUUUUUCCCAUCCCUUUGACAAGGGCGGCACCUGCUCCAAUUGGGUCAAUCCCACAGCCCUGAAGGACAUAUUCAUCAGGCGAACACCUCGGGAUUGCCAGGAGAGCAACCUGAGAUCAGCUCUGCGCCACAACUCCUCCCUUCAGCUCCUUGCACCAGGGUAACAGCAUCACAACUCAUGUUCACACAGCAGCAAUCAGAGUUUAGACUCUCCCUCCCUCUGGCGACCUGUGCUGGGGGCAGGAGGCGGGGGUAGAAAAUGGGGUAGAAAGCAGAAAGCUCCCUAGGAAUUACCACCACGCCUCUGUGCAGUGAUGACGUGCCUUAGGACUGUCCCCAUCAGCGUCCCUGUCACCUGGCUUGCCUCUCGCCAGCUUCCUCCCUCUGUGAGGAUGUUCCCAUGCUGAUCUAAUAAUAGCCUCAACAAACAAGUGAGUACGGGUAACAGCUCUUUCUGCUUACUUUCAGUAAACAGUUUCCCAGUUUGCUUCUCUCAUCUUCCUGCUGUGGUGUUUAGCUUUUAGCUCCAAACUUUAAUGAUCCAUUUAACAAGGGGAAAGUGUCUUCUAGGAACAGCACUGAGCUAUUCUAUGGGCUGCUCAGAGAUGAAAUCCGACCAUUUAUACUCCCUUCUACCAAAGAGAAACAUCCUCAGAACCAAAACAAAGUAAUACAAAGAGAAAACAAAGGGAAUGUCUGGAGACAGGCAGAUGGUGAGCUGUGCAGACAUGCAGUGCAGCCAGAGCAUUAUUGCACCAUGCUAAAACACAGCUUGCCAGAACUUCCAUCUCCCUAGUUUUACAAGCUUAGAAGUGCAAAUACAAACUCUCGCUGUAAGGCUGGAAGUUGGGAGCUCAAGUUUCAGCUAAGGAGUACAUUCCUCAUGCUGCCAUUACUUACGUUCAUGAAAGAAUUGCAUACAUAUUGAAAAACCUGAUUUGGUGAGUCUCUAAAUUAGACAUAUAUAUAUAUGUUUACUUUGAAACAACUUCGUAAAGGUAAAGGAAGGGAAGAACAGAAAAAAAGAUGGUUUUCAUCAGUUGAUGGUAUGUGUUUGAUUUAAAGUAAUCAUAUAUAUAUAUAUCAUCUUCACAAAAGUGUUUGCAUGAUCUUCAGCAGAGGUUUUGAACAUGAAGGUAUACAUCUGUACUGCGUGUCUUUGGUAGAGCGGUGAGGAGCUGGAAUGGGCUGCCCAGGGAGAUGGUGGAGUCACCGACCGUGGAGGUGUUCAAGAAACAUGGAGACGUGACACUGAGGGACAUAGCUUAGUGGGCAAUAGUGGUGAAACUUUGGCUGAAACCUGAAGCCUGCAUGACCGCAUCCAAUGACAAAACACUUUGAGAAAAUGUGGAGCUGAUAUAUUGCAUGAGACCCAUUCCCUCUACAUACCAGCAAAACUCACCUCUAGCAGAGAUGAGAGGCCUGAACACAACUCAAAAAGUGAAGAAACCACAGGAGGAGGAUCUGGGCACCCUGGGAAGUUUUCUGGGAGCAGUUCUCCUCCGUUAUGGCCAGAAGCCACAUCCUUGGGCAGAGACAGUGCAAUACUGCACCCAAGCUGGUCCCACUUACCCGCUCAGGUGCUCUGGUUGUGCAACAUGACUCCAGCACACCCAGAGAGCCAGCACAGUGAGGAGCUGCUGCACAACAGUAGGCACAAUUCAGUACCCCGGCCAGGAGCACUGAAUAAAAAUCAGAGUCACCUGCCCUUCUGCAACCCAAGAAGAUAGCAUCAAAACUGAUGGAGAAAAAGAAAUAAUUAUUUCUCCCCCUUUCUUUUUCCUUCCAUUUCUUCCAUUUACAAGCUUCGGUGCAGUCUGCCCUUGAGCCACAGAGCCAUUGAUUUCAGAGACGUAUGGAGACACACAUCCUUAUUCUUUCAGCUACCAUCAGUAGCUGUUUUUUCAGACUAACCAAUGUAGAAAAAACACCAUGAACAUCUGGCAUGUCAAAGCACACUUGAACUGCUCUGACACGUUAUGCUGGAAUUAAAACAAAGUGUUA